Long non-coding RNA from Engraulis encrasicolus (European anchovy), 490 nucleotides. RefSeq lists it as uncharacterized. The record is from RefSeq and is a predicted model, not a curated record. Lineage: Eukaryota; Metazoa; Chordata; Actinopteri; Clupeiformes; Engraulidae. The transcript has 4 exons.
GCUGGGUUGUUUUGUCAACCCAAGUGCUGAAUAACAGCUGCUGGGUAAACGUGUUGGGUUAUUCUAAUGCAGUGUUGGGUUACUCUAACUCAAUAUUGGUACAGUGGGGAACAUCUAUGCUACUCUACUGAUUGGGUUAUUAGUUAGGUUACACAAUAACCCAACUCACUGGUUUAUUGUACCCAACACUGUGUUGCCCUGCUACGUUUGAAAUCAGAGUUCCCUGCAGAUAACGUUCUUUCUGCCUGCCCGCCCUGGAAGAAGUGAACUGACCGGAGUCUUCAAUAAAAAUGAAGCUAUGAAAAAAAGGAAGGAGACGUCCAGGACUGAACAGCUGUCACCUGUCACAGUGCAGUGCACCGACUGACUGACGCUAUUUGCUUGGAUGUUGCUGAAAGAAAGGAGGCAUUCUUCAUUGUGCAGCACUAGCCUACUGUGGAGGCCGAGAGAGUUUUGACGAGGCUUCUGUACCCAGGAGGCGGAGGCAGCA